CCCGCCUGCCCUGUGACUAUAUGUUUAACGGCCGCGGUAUUUUGACCGUGCAAAGGUAGCGCAAUCACUUGUCUUUUAAAUGGAGACCUGUAUGAAUGGCAAGACGAGGGCUAAGCUGUCUCCUUUCCCAAGUCAGUGAAAUUGAUCUCUCCGUGCAGAAGCGGGGAUAAUCUCAUAAGACGAGAAGACCCUAUGGAGCUUUAGACACUAGAAAGACCAUGUUAAACAACCCUACCUGCAGGGAAGAACUUAGUGGUGCCUAUCCUAAUUGUCUUCGGUUGGGGCGACCGCGGGGGAAAGACUAGCCCCCAUGUGGAAUGGGAAUAAAUACUCCUAGAGCCGAGAGUUACCUCUCUAAGCAGCAGAAAUUCUGACCAAUCAAGAUCCGGCAUAGCCGAUCAACGGACCCAGUUACCCUAGGGAUAACAGCGCAAUCCUCUCCCAGAGUCCCUAUCGACGAGUGGGUUUACGACCUCGAUGUUGGAUCAGGACAUCCUAAUGGUGCAGCCGCUAUUAAGGG
Molecule: ribosomal RNA, 520 nt
Filed under: Galaxias occidentalis (western minnow)
Lineage: Eukaryota; Metazoa; Chordata; Actinopteri; Galaxiiformes; Galaxiidae
Description: partial 16S ribosomal RNA
Rfam family: Bacterial large subunit ribosomal RNA
Source: RNAcentral